UUAAAUAAAAAUCGGUGUUGUUGCUACCUUUCGUGGUGACGCGUCGGACUUGGGUCGUCUUAUCCUUCGGCUAAGUGACUUAAAAUUUUGCAUGAUUUUUGAACGUAUUUAAAUUGCUUACGUACGUUUGAGAUAUCGAAUGUUUUUAUUAGGUUCGGUCAUCCUCAUGACUCGCGCCUAUAAUUUUUUCAUU
Molecule: unclassified non-coding RNA, 193 nt
Filed under: uncultured Glomeraceae
Lineage: Eukaryota; Fungi; Glomeromycota; Glomeromycetes; Glomerales; Glomeraceae
Description: sequence contains ITS2
Source: RNAcentral